This 474-nucleotide ribosomal RNA is filed under the name uncultured organism. RNAcentral describes it as "bacterial SSU rRNA". It matches the Rfam family "Bacterial small subunit ribosomal RNA", at positions 56 to 527 of the family's 1533-position model. The record is from RNAcentral.
UGCAGUCGACGGUACAGGCCCUUCGGGGUGCUGACGAGUGGCGGACGGGUGAGUAACGCGUAGGAAUUUGCCCAGUAGUGGGGGACAACUUGGGGAAACCCCAGCUUAAUCCCGCAUACCCCCUACGGGGGAAAGCGGGGGAUCUUCGGACCUCGCGCUAUUGGAUGAGCCUGCGUCGGAUUAGCUAGUUGGUAGGGUAAAGGCCUACCAAGGCGACGAUCCGUAGCUGGUUUGAGAGAACGAUCAGCCACACUGGGACUGAGACACGGCCCAGACUCCUACGGGAGGCAGCAGUGGGGAAUAUUGCACAAUGGGGGCAACCCUGAUGCAGCAAUGCCGCGUGUGUGAAGAAGGCCUGAGGGUUGUAAAGCACUUUCAAUAGAGACGAAAAGCUCAGGGUUAAUAGCUCUGGGUCUUGACUUAACCUAUAGAAGAAGCACCGGCUAACUCCGUGCCAGCAGCCGCGGUAAUACG